GAUCAGAUACCGUCGUAGNCCACACCCCAAACUAUGUCGACUAGUGGUUGGAGUUUUGGCAGAUAUGAAAGUUUUUGGACUCUGGGGGAAGUAUGAUCGCAAGAUUGAAACUUAAAGGAAUUGACGGAAAGGCACCACAAGGGGUGGAGCGUGCGGCUUAAUUUGACUCAACGCGGGGAAACUUACUAGGGUAGGACAUUAAAAUGAUUGACAAAUUGCUUGAUUUUUCUUGAUAUGGUGGGUGGUGGUGCAUGGCCGAUCUUAGUUGGUGGGGUGACUUGUCUGGUUAAUUCCGAUAACGAACGAGAUCCGAGCAGUUUUGUUGCGUUCCAAAAUGGACCAAUAGAAUAAUGGGAAGUUUCGGGCUAAAUCAGGUCUGUGAUGCCCUUCGAUACUCUGGGCUGCACGCGCGCUACAUUGGAUGAUAGAGCGUGUACGGCCUAACGGCUGUGUGAAUCACAAAUGUCAUUUCGUGAAUGGGAUAGUUUAUUGUAAUUGACGAACUUGAACUAGGAAUCCCUUGUAAGUACUUUGAAUCAUAAUGUAUUGAAUACGUCCCUGCCUUUUGUACACACCGCCCGUCGUUUCUUCCGACUGAUACUCAUUGUGAAUUGCGGGGCAUAACCGCUGUGAAUGCUGGGUAUUGGAGGAAGAAAAAGUCGUAACAAGGUUAUCGUAGGUGAACCUGCAGAAGGAUCA
Molecule: ribosomal RNA, 699 nt
Filed under: uncultured eukaryote
Lineage: Eukaryota
Description: bacterial SSU rRNA
Rfam family: Eukaryotic small subunit ribosomal RNA
Source: RNAcentral